This 156-nucleotide unclassified non-coding RNA is filed under the name uncultured Helotiales. RNAcentral describes it as "sequence contains ITS1". The record is from RNAcentral. Lineage: Eukaryota; Fungi; Ascomycota; Leotiomycetes; Helotiales.
CCGAGUUCAUGCCCUUACGGGUAGAUCUCCCACCCUUUGUAUACUAUACCUUUGUUGCUUUGGCGGGCCGCCUAGCUACUGGCUUCGGCAGCCCGCCAGAGGACCCAAACCCUUGAUUUUAUACAGUAUCUUCUGAGUAAAUGAUUAAAUAAAUCA